This 460-nucleotide ribosomal RNA is filed under the name uncultured bacterium. RNAcentral's name for it is "partial 16S ribosomal RNA". It matches the Rfam family "Bacterial small subunit ribosomal RNA", at positions 338 to 795 of the family's 1533-position model. The record is from RNAcentral.
CCUACGUGUGGCAGCAGUGAGGAAUAUUGGUCAAUGGGCGCGAGCCUGAACCAGCCAAGUAGCGUGAAGGAUGACUGCCCUACGGGUUGUAAACUUCUUUUAUAAAGGAAUAAAGUGAGGCACGUGUGCCUUUUUGUAUGUACUUUAUGAAUAAGGAUCGGCUAACUCCGUGCCAGCAGCCGCGGUAAUACGGAGGUUCCGAGCGUUAUCCGGUUUUAUUGGGUUUAAAGGGAGCGUAGAUGGGUUGUUAAGUCAGUUGUGAAAGUUUGCGGCUAAACCGUAAAAUUGCAAUUGAUACUGGCAGUCUUGAGUACAGUUGAGGUAGGCGGAAUGCGUGGUGUAGCGGUGAAAUGCUUAGAUAUCACGAAGAACUCCGAGUGCGAAGGCAGCUUACUAAACUGCCACUGACAUUGAUGCUCGAAAGUGUGGGUAUCAAACAGGAUUAGAUACCCGAGUAGUC